CAGCAGACUGUAUUUAUCACUUUGGCAGGGGUGAGUCCCACUGAAUGGGCUAGAACAGGCUAGAUUCAGAACAAGUCUGUUACUGUCUUUCUUCUUAAGCACUACCUGAAUGACCACUACUUAGAUUUUACUUUAUAUUCACCUUUCUUUCCCCAGCAAGUAACAUAAAGCCUGGUGUGUGCAUAAUCUCACUUAGGUCCCUAUUCUUAAACAUAUAAAAUAGUAUAAUCCCCACUUACAAAAGAAAACCUUGGGACCAGAGAAGAAAAGUGAUUUGUCCAAGUUCACAAGGCAAGUGAGUAGCAGAGCAGAACUGGAGGCCAGUUCACAUCACCUUUUACCACACAGCUCUCUUCCUCAGUUCCCAGAUUUCUUCAUGAUGAUGCCCACCAGGAUUCAAAAGCCUUAUAUAACAUGCCAGGCCUGUCAGUACCUUUGUAUCUGCUUGGUUGCUUUUUGUUAAAAUGAUAUAAAAUUCAACUCAAACUGGUUUACAUAGCAAAUGUGGCUCAUUAGUUCAUGUAAUUGGAAAUCCAGAGGUAGGAAGGGCUUCAGGGUUAGUUGAUGCAGCUUAUUAAUGGCUGUAUGGACUCAGAUUCUUUUCUGGCUCUUCACUCUUCUAUCCAUAAUACUCAGCAAGUCACAGGAUAGAUGCCAAAAGCAAGAAAGGAUAAAUGUUGCCUUGUUCAUACCCAUCAGGAAACUACUUAUGCCACAGAAUUCCAAGCAAGAGUCACCCUAAUUGGGCUGCUUAGGUCACAUGCCUAUAGGGAAGAGGCAAUAGUCUAAAGCUACGAUGCCCAAUAAAUUUGCCACUAACUACAUGUAACUAUUUAAAAUAAAAUUAAAUACAAUUAAAAAUCAGUUUCUUAGUCACACUUAGACUUAUUUAGAGUGACCAGCUUAUUUAGAGUGCUCAACAGCCACAUGUGGCUACUGGCUACAGUAUUGGACAGUACAGAUUAGAACAUUUCUAUUGUUGCCAAAAGUUCUAUUGGUAUAAGGCAAUCAAGUAUACCAAGCAACUUGUAGAAGGCAACCAAGACCCAGCUCAAUAGCUGGGGUCAACUUCACCCAAAGUAUAGGGAAUUUGGGGAAGAAGCAGAUCCAGAUGAAAAUCUGUGUAGCUAUGGGAAAGGGCAAAGGAGACUCCAGGUUAGGGGACAAUUUGAUAAACAAUGUAUACUGCUUUGAAGGAGGGGAACCCAGAUGGCAGGAGAAGAAAACAGACAAAUACUGGAAGGCCUACCUCAUGCCAGGCAACUUCAGUGAGACCUACAUUCUAGUGGGGUGACAAAUAAUGAACAAUUUAUUCAAUCAACAAAUUAUUAUGGAGUAUCUUUCAUGGUGCCAGGCACUGUUCUAAGUGGCAAUGAUGCAGCAAUGAACACAAAGGCUACAAGUGAUAAGUGCAAUUAAAAAUAAAGAGAGAAUGAAGAAGCUGGUUAAGAAAAUAGAGAACAACAAAGAGAGUGAGGCAGUUUACCAGAAGGGUGGCUGAGGGAGGUCUCCCAGAGGAAGCAUCAUUUGAGCAGAGACCCGAACCAAGUGAGUGAGUUUCUCUAGCAGUUUCUCCAUGUGUCUAUAUUUGACAGGUCUAAUAUUUUUCAGAGUUUAACCUAAAGGUUUCGAAAUAGAUACCUACCUUCAACAAAUUACAUUAAUAUUUUAAUUAGAUCACAUAAAGAUCUUACUUAUAAAAGAUCUUCAUCUUACACAAGGCAGAAAAAGUUAAUAAAUCUUUCCCAAAACAUUUUAAUGCUGUAAGGCUCCAAUGAACAUCGCCAUGCCCAGAAAAUUAAUAUUAUAAUAUCCACUCAGAAAACUAGAGUAAAAUAUUACAAAGAUAUUAACAAUUAGAAUAUAGGCUCUAAGAAUAUACAUCUAAAGUUUUGAAAAAACUGACUUCAUGAAAAUAUGGUAACAGAAAAACUUGUAAACAAUGGUUAAUUUUUCUGAGCAAAAUUGUGCCUUUUAAUGAAAGUUUUUAAAAACUUAGUACCUAGUCUCUGAAUAUAUUUAAUGAAAUUUUCUUUGAAUUUUUGCUGUUUUGACUCUUGUCAGAUGCAUUCAUUUGUUCAUUUAUUAUUUCCAUAAGAAGUUUAAAAGCAAAGUUCUUUCUGUUUGAUAGUAAAAAAAAAGUUCAAAUGGCUAGGCCAGCAGUCUCCAAAAAGAUUUCCUCAGGUCCCUUCCUGCAAGAGCACAUGUGAGUGAAGCUACAGCUAGGGCAAUAACUUGUUAAAUAGGUCGACCAUCCCUAAUCCAAACAUCCAAAAUGCUCCAAACUCUGAAACUUUUUGAGUGCCAACACGACACUCAAAGGAAAUGCUCAUUGGAACGUUUCAGAUUUGGGGUUUUGGGAUUUGGGAUGCUCAACCAGUAUAAUGCAAAUAUUAAAAAAUCCUAAAUCUAAAACACUUCUGGUCGCAGUCUUUUUCAGGUAAGGAAUACUCAACCUGUACAAUUAGGAAACCAGUGUUCCUCUUUGCACUUCUGCCUUGUCACAUAAGUCCUAGUUUCAUACCUGAACCAAAGUAGAUCAUUCAAAAGACAGAAAAUUCACUGAUGAGUUAUAGAGGUAAAAGAAUUUGACAUCACUCAAAUCAGCAAACAUUCAAUUUCCUUAAAUAUAACCUGGACAAUUCAAUAUUUAGGAACAUCUGCCCCUGACUAUCCUCAAAGAAUUAUCACAACCUUGGGCAUUGUGGGAGCAGCCCAAGCACAGGGAGGAGGUACACAUGCGUAUCCCUAUGUCUAAAACAUGCUGGCUACAACGUAAUCUGUGGUCUAUUGCUUUUUCCUAUAUCAUCCCCACACAUACUUCAUCUCAGAGAGAGGGGAAUUGAGGGCAGGUGGUAAUAGAAAAUGACUGACAUGCUAGAGUUAGACUAGCAGGUAAAAUGUAGUCUCCUGGAAAGAUAUUAUGCAAAGAGCCCAGGCCUUUAGUUUCUAUUAUGUAUUUAUUUCUGAGUUAUUAUUUUAUUAGCUAUUUAUUAAUUAUUUUAUUAACUUUACUUCAUGUUGUGUUUUUAAAGCAUUUCCAUUCUAUUUUAUUAUCCCAGUACAUACAAGAAUAGAACAAAGGGUACUGGGAGGAAAGAUCAUCAUGGGAUCACAGAACACAAAACCUAUACACUCUCUAUCCAUUCCAUAUUACAUAUUGGUUAAGAGUAAUGAUGUGGGACUCUUUUGAGAAAUGGCUAAUUCAAGUUGAUCAGGAAAUGAACAAGAUAAACCUGGAACACCCUGUCAUACGGGGAAAACAAGGAAGCUAUCAAAGGUUACUCAGGUCUUAUCUAAAGGACUCUGUAAUUAUCAUGAUGGGGCUCUCUCUGGUUGACCCUGGAGAAUUCUGAGCAUUUAUCCUACCUGUCUUAUAUAAACUAUACCUCAGGGUAACCAAAUAGUUGAUGAGAAAAAGCUUCUCUAAGAUUUUCAUGUAAUUAAAUUAAGAAGGUGAAAAAAGACUUUCGUUAUCACCAUUUUGCCAUCUCUACUGAAGUAAUGGAUUCAGGAAAUGUACAUCAAUGGUUGCUAAAACCAAUAAAUCAUAAGCUAAUGGGGAAGGAGUUUUACAAUGGAUGGACCAGAGUGGCAAUACUUGAACACAAUGAUCAACAUGAAUAUCAUAAAAAGAGAACCAAAGUGCUUCUUGAUUCACUGUAACAGGAAGUACACAUUACCAUCUAUGAAGUAUUUUUCCCUCAAAAUUGAACCUGAAUCUGAUCUGAUAGAGGAAAUAAAGGGAACAGAGAAACAUCUUAAACAACACUACAAUGCUGCACUCAACAAAAUUCAGAAUGUGGGAAAUUCUACGGGACAAAUAUCCCAGUUUUGCCAACAGAUAUAUUCUAAGAAAAAAAAGGAAGGGUGAACCUACAGACUUAAAUGCUUGUCACAUACCAACCAAAGGCAAUUUGAUUCCAAGUAACCAACUACAUUUUUAAAAAAGAAAAGAAAGAAAAAAAGGAGAAGAGAGACAAUCAAGGAAAUGUGGACAUGAUUUAGAUAAUGAGUGUCAUUAAAUAUGACUAUGUUUUUAAAAAUCUCUAACUCUUGAAUAUAAGUAAAGUAUUUAAGGAUAAAAUGAUAAAUCCAUUUACACCCACUCUGCAGAUGAUUCCAUCUGGUCUCAUGGCUUUAGAUAUCUCUCUAUAUGCCAUUAACUCCCCAAUUUAAAUGCCUAGGUCAAUCUUUCCCCUUAAUUUCACACUUAUAUACAAUUGCCUACUUUUAUUUAUUUAUUUACUUUUUUGUUUAGAGAUGAGGUCUCACUGUGUCACCCAGGCUGCAGUGCAAUGGUAUAAUCACAGUUUACUAUACCUCCAACCCCUGGGCUCAAAUGAUCCUCCAGACUCAGCCUCCCAAGUA
Molecule: non-coding RNA, 4371 nt
Organism: Microcebus murinus (gray mouse lemur)
Lineage: Eukaryota; Metazoa; Chordata; Mammalia; Primates; Cheirogaleidae
Source: RefSeq, a predicted model, not a curated record